GCCACAGUUGUGCCUCCCCUGGUCGGCAGGUAGGGGUUGGAGGCCUGUUCUUGCCAAGCAGCACAAGGGGAGGAAGGUAUGGCCAUGAAAAAACAUGAAAGCCUCUUCCAAAAGCACCAAAUGCCAGUCCUGCUUGGGAAGCAGAGCUGUCUGUGGGAAGAAACCUACCUGGAAGAUGUCACUGGCGCACUUCCGACAGAGGUUGUGCUGGCAGGGCAGGAUGACCACUGGCUUGGUGAACAUCUCCAAACAGAUGGGGCAGAUCAGCUGUUUCUCCAGGUCAAUGGAGACCGAAGGGCUUGCCCCAGCCUGUGCAGCCACAUCCUGCAGCCUAAUAGACAUUCUGUUGUGGGCGAGCAGCUGUGGCCACGACAGGCAGGAUGUCAUUUUGCCCAUGUGUUUUGGGAGGCUCCAGGAUCCUACCUUUCCAAGGUGUGGAGUACACGUGUACAUGUACAAGACAAUAGGAGUGAUGGCUGCUCUGGAGCUCAAACACUUCAGGGUGUAAACAUCCUGCCACCUUGAAAACCAGACUGUCGGACAAUUCAGACUUGUUGUGAAUUAUAACAUCUGUGUUGUCUCACCCUUCUCAUGAGACUGAAAAUAGAAGAAAAGUUUUUAAAAAGCAUCUCAGUUGCCCCACCAGAAAAAGGUCAUAAAAAGUUGCCCCAUCAGAAAAAGGUAUAAUCUGACACCAGACAAAGAAAAUUGCCCACCUAUAACUGUGCUUGACUUUGUUCUGGUAAGAUUUUGGUCUUAGGAGCUAUAACAUAAAAAUCCAACAUGACUUUGUGCCAUUUGUGCACAUUAUCUCCAUGGGCAGGUUAAAUAUGCAUGAAAAACAUUUGAAUUUCCUGAUGAGAAAAAAAAAAAACAGAAGAAACACAGUGUGAAAGGCUUUCAUUUGUGCUGCUAGAGAAUAGGUACUAAUUGUAUAUGCUCUCUCUCUGAUAGUUUGAUUCAAAUAUAUUUUAGUUUUGGGCACUGCUGUGUUUAUAUCUGUUUAUUAGACACUGAUAUCCCUUUCAGCUUGGCACUUGUUCCAGAGUUAUUUUUAAAAUGACAAUUUCCCAGAUAAUUUGUGACAUGUGAUGCCUGAUCUUAAGGGAAAGCCAUCUGUGCUUCUAGUUGCCAAUAAUUUAUCACACAACUGUACAAGCAAUAAAUAUCUCAUCUUCAAAUUUAAGCCAAAGUCCCUGCAUUACUGUAUAAAAUCACUUUGCCACCAUACUGUACAUGUAAUCAGAAUAUUUUCUUCUCUUUCAGUCAAUAACUACAAUACUUUUUCAGUUCAGUCUUGUAGAAACCUUUAAUGCUUAUUCUGCCUUAUGACUGUAUAGGGCUUGCUUCUGAAAAAUGCAGUAGAGCAGCUGAGUGAGUUCCCCAUGCAUCCAGGGACAGACCCCAAUUCUGAAGCAGGGCCCUCAAUCUGCAUGCACCACCAGUCUGGAAACUGUGCACUUUGGAAAAUGUAAAAGUGAAGGUUUUCAAGGAUUUCUGC
Passer domesticus (house sparrow) is the source of this 1501-nucleotide long non-coding RNA. RefSeq lists it as uncharacterized. The transcript is spliced from 3 exons. Lineage: Eukaryota; Metazoa; Chordata; Aves; Passeriformes; Passeridae. The record is from RefSeq and is a predicted model, not a curated record.